CCCUUCGAUGUUCUGGGCUGCACGCGCACUACAAUGGCAACGACAGAAAGUAGUAAUGUAAAUGUGGUUACAUCGAGAGAUGUGACGAAUCAUAAAUCGUUGUCGUGAUUGGGAUUGAGCGUUGUAAUAUUUGCUCAUGAAAGAGGAAUUCCUCGUAAGCGCGAGUCACCAACUCGUGUUGAAUACGUCUCUGCCCUUUGUACACACCGCCCGUCGCUCCUACCGAUCGAAGAGUUAGGUGAAUUGUUUUGAUCGAUAAGAUUUGACUAUGGUCAACUCUCGUUGUGAAAUUCUGUGAAUCUGACUGUUUAGAGGAAGGAAAAGUCGUAACA
RNAcentral lists this ribosomal RNA (332 nucleotides) under uncultured eukaryote. Its description in RNAcentral is "partial 18S ribosomal RNA". It matches the Rfam family "Eukaryotic small subunit ribosomal RNA", at positions 1470 to 1796 of the family's 1831-position model. The record is from RNAcentral.